GGGCCCGCACAAGCGGUGGAGCAUGUGGUUUAAUUCGAUGAUACGCGAGGAACCUUACCAGGGCUUAAAUGCAGAACGACCGGGUGAAACACCCUUUCUUCGGACGGUCUGCAAGGUGCUGCAUGGUUGUCGUCAGCUCGUGCUGUGAAGUGUCGGGUUAAGUCCCAUAACGAGCGCAACCCCUAUUUCUAGUUGCCAGCGGUUCGGCCGGGGACUCUAGAGAAACUGCCAGCGUAAGCUGUGAGGAAGGUGGGAUGACGUCAAAAUCAUCACGGCCCUUACGUCCUGGGCCACACACGUGCUACAAUGGUGGGGACAACGAGUCGCUAACCCGCGAGGGUAAGCUAA
Molecule: ribosomal RNA, 348 nt
Filed under: uncultured bacterium
Lineage: Bacteria
Description: bacterial SSU rRNA
Rfam family: Bacterial small subunit ribosomal RNA
Source: RNAcentral